GCCCAAGAGAUCGGGAUAACACCUGGAAACAGAUGCUAAUACCGGAUAACAACAGAUGAUGCCUAUCAACUGUUUAAAAGAUGGUUCUGCUAUCACUCUUGGAUGGACCUGCGGUGCAUUAGCUAGUUGGUAGGGUAACGGCCUGCCAAGGCGAUGAUGCAUAGCCGAGUUGAGAGACUGAUCGGCCACAUUGGGACUGAGACACGGCCCAAACUCCUACGGGAGGCAGCAGAG
Molecule: ribosomal RNA, 234 nt
Filed under: uncultured Lactobacillus sp.
Lineage: Bacteria; Bacillati; Bacillota; Bacilli; Lactobacillales; Lactobacillaceae
Description: partial 16S ribosomal RNA
Rfam family: Bacterial small subunit ribosomal RNA
Source: RNAcentral